This 371-nucleotide long non-coding RNA is filed under the name Homo sapiens (human). Its description in RNAcentral is "non-protein coding lnc-ZCWPW2-4:1". Lineage: Eukaryota; Metazoa; Chordata; Mammalia; Primates; Hominidae. The record is from RNAcentral.
AUGCCCAAGGAAGGCAUUGCUGCUGGAGGCGUAGUGGACAUUAACACUGCUUUGCAAGAGGAGCUGAAGACCACCCUCAUCCAUGACGGCUACCAUGGGGAAUUUGUAAAGUAGUCACAGUCUUAGACAAAAGCCACGCCCAUCUCUGUGUUUACAUUCAACUGUAAUGAGCUUUGUAUGUCAAGUUGGUGGAGGCCCUUUGUGCUGAACAGCAAAUCAACCUAAUUAAGACUGAUGACACCAAGAGACUAGGAAUCGAUAGUGGCAGAAACCCCAAAAAAAUGGUUAGUUGCAGUUGUGUAGUAGUUAAGGUCUAUGGCAAAGAAUCUCCGGCCAACCAUGUCAUUAAAGAGUGCUUCAAAUGCCAGAAA